Molecule: ribosomal RNA, 300 nt
Filed under: uncultured bacterium
Lineage: Bacteria
Description: bacterial SSU rRNA
Rfam family: Bacterial small subunit ribosomal RNA
Source: RNAcentral
AGUCCUAUAACGAGCGNAACCCCUGUCGUUAGUUGCCAACAGGUUAUGCUGGGGAACUCUAACGAGACUGCCGGUGCAAACUGAGAGGAAGUGGGGACGACGUCAAAUCAUCACGGCCCUUACGUCCUGGGCUACACACGUGCUACAAUGGUCGGUACAGAGAGCAGCCACCUUGCGAAAGGGAGCAAAUCUUUAAAACCGGUCUCAGUUCGGAUCGCAGUCUGCAACUCGACUGCGUGAAGCUGGAAUCGCUAGUAAUCGCAUAUCAGCCAUGAUGCGGUGAAUACGUUCCCGGGCCUU